AUGGUUGAACUUUCACAAUCGCAGAUGCUUUCUGCUUCUGCAAGGGAAAGGGAACUGCAAUCUCAGAUUAUCAAUAUGCAACUAAGGAUUAGGCAGCUUCUUGACGACUUGCAGGAACAGAAAAAUAAAAAUUCUGAGCUGGAAGGACAAUUAAGCAUUUUGUUCAACAAAGGCUAGGAGCAGCAGACCAUUUUUACGCCUCACCUGCCCCAAAGUAUAAAAAGGAAUCCCCUGCAUGUAUACUCCAUCAUAUUUGUGAGAAGCUACAAAAGGAAAAAAGGGUCGGAAGACCCAAUUUAAGUUUCAA
This 307-nucleotide unclassified non-coding RNA is filed under the name Hevea brasiliensis (rubber tree). The record is from RNAcentral. Lineage: Eukaryota; Viridiplantae; Streptophyta; Magnoliopsida; Malpighiales; Euphorbiaceae.